GCACCCUUUUCUGAACUUGACUGGGUACCAGCAGGCCCCUGGUUCAGAGCAGGCAGGUCCUUCCACCCCGCUCCCCACCCUCCCUCAGGGCUAGACCCCGGGAUCUGCUCUGUCUGUCUCCCUCUCUGUCUCUGUCUACUUCUGUCUCUGUCUUUCUGUCUCUUUCUCUGUCUCUUUGUCUCUCUGUCUCUCUCUCUGUCUCUCUCUCUGUUUCUCUGUCUUUCUGUCUCUCUGUCUCUCUCUGUCUCCCUCUCUCUCUCUCUCUCUCAUACAGCCUUUCAGGUUCCACGCUGGUCCCUGCAGGAGAAAAGCUCUGUCUCUGGUUCCUGAAAUAUCCGCCUUUGGCUUCGACUGUGGUGCACAGUCUGACAAGGCCAGCUUCACUCCUUUUCCAAGGUUUUCUGCUGUGUGGGGCUCCUAAGAUUCUACUUUUCUCCCUACCCCAUCGACCUUCACACUGAGUGGUUUCUCUGCAGCCUGUUUAGCAACGAGCUGUAAAAACCUGGUCUCCUGCUCCCGUGUUUGGAAUGAAGCAGCUGCCGAACAAAUAUUUUGUGAACGACUCGCAACUGGGGAGCGUUUAAGUUGCAGAAUGAGUGGCCCAGCCCCUCCCAAGCAGGGAGCUGAUGUCAUCACCCCACUUCACAGUGGUGUCACAACUGGCCAGACACUCAACUCCCAGGACGGGACGAAAGCCGUGAGAAUUGAGUCAAGAUUUUUCUUGAUUUCAGGAGACUCCUUCUCCCUAAUCGUCCUGAAGCCACUACUCGCUGGACCCAGGGGCAGAAUUUGACCAGACCAAGAGCCACUGCUGCACUUGUUUACAAACGUGUCUUAAAAGAUUAGAGUCAGACAAAAGUCUGAAAACAAACACUCCUGUUUUGCAGAAGCCAAGGCUGGCUGAGACAAAGGCUCAAAGGGAACGAGUGUGGUCUGAGGAGGAUGUGGAGGCCAGGACCCAGGCCAGGAGGGAGAGAGAGCUGCUCCUGCCCAAGCAGGGACCAACUGGCUCAGUGCACGGCAGCCUUCCUGGGCUGCGGGAAGGCGCUGAGUGACAGGGCCAGUCCCGGGCCUGGGGGAGUCAGACAGGUUUGGGGGAAUCUGUGAACACAGUGCGAGCUGGGAACACGGCCAGCCUCUCGCACACUGCCAGCAAUCCUGACCUGGAGAACUGCCCCGGCCGCCCCAGGUCCAUGGCUUCACAACCUGCAGCGUGGUAGCAAGAUGACAAGGGGAGGAUGAGACGGGGCAGAAGUGAGGAUGCAGGUACCAAGGAGACUGACUGGAUGAGGCGUGGGGACAGAGUGCAGAAUGCACCAAACCACGGAGGCCGUGGGAGCAGGACCCUGGACGUCAGCAGGGACACGGCACCUAACUGUGGUGCAUGGGCCUGGUCUCCCCUCUAUAAACGGCACAGCCCAGGGAGCAGCUCCUCAGCAGAAGCCAGGGGGCCGCAGCGGGCGACCAGGACAUGGGGCCCUCCCGCUCUGCCUGGCACAUGGUCCUCGGGUCCAGAACAGAGAAGAGGGGGAGCCUUCAGGGGAGAAGCUGCCCUGAAGGAGGGUUUGAACUUCGAAUGAACUCAGUAUUCACCCCACAGAAGCUUGCUGAGCCUGGAGAGAAUGGAAAUUGUCAGGGAAAAGACUCCCACCCGCCGUCAGUGCAAACAGGGGCUCUGAGCCCAGUGAGCUCAGGGAAGGAAAAGAAAGAAAGAUGCCUUCUUUGUGUUUUACUUAUGCACAUCUGAUUCACACUGCGUGAAUUCUGAUCCCAAUGCGAACACAGGGAGCAUCUUCCCAUCAAGGUCAAGAGGAAAAUGAUGCUUCCCACUCUGCAGAUUAGAAGCCGUGGUCACCAGAUUGCUUCCUAAACCCGGAAUGCUCCUCGGUCGAUAGUGGCUGGUUCUAACCACGUACCAUGCAACGUGUGGGCUCUGUAAGUCCAGGUUUAAAAUGCAGUAUUCAUCCAAGACAUUGUGAGCAAACUAUUCCCACUGCCAGGGAAAACGGGUAAAUCCUCAGAAAGAUAAUACCCGUGUUAACUAUGAUAUUACAAAGCAAAUGUCUUCAUCCGCUUCUAACAAGACCCCAGACCUAGGUGAUGCUCCAGCUCACGGGUCACCUGCACCCGAGAUUUCAUCUUUACAGGAGCCCCACCUGCCUCUCCUCUUCAUAACCUACACGUGACGCUUAAAUUAGACGCCGGUCCUUGAUGUUAAGCGGUAUCUCUGUGUGCAAAAUUACACUCCUAAAAUCAGAACAUAUCACCAUCAAGAAUAACUUAAGUUGAUCACGUGGGUCACAGUUUCCUCCGUGACUCACACUAUUUCACUUGAUCUGCAUGCAGGUGGGGUGUUCAUUACGCCCACCUGCAGAGGAGGCGGCUCCGCUGCACGACAGUCUUUCCGAACCAGGACUGACCAGGUCUUCAGACUCUCAUGCCUGCGCCACCGCCCCGCUGCAGUGUCUGCCUUGGCUGCCACCGUUCCUGGGAGACGGAUCCGAUCUCUGCCGCUGGCUUCCAGACUGUCGGCUUCGGGUGGAGUACGGUCCCAGAUGCAGUGUCUGCACAAAGACCCCCCUGACCGACCCCGUCCGCGUGGACCCGCGGCCUGUCAACGCCACAGCAUCUCCCCUGAACCCCGCAAAAAAUAGGACCCCAUGAGGUGCCUGGAUGCCAGGACAAGAGAACUCCAGAGAGGAGGCCACCACACGGAGAGGGGAGAUGUCCUGCUUCACAGUUUGCUUGUGCCCAUCCCGGCCACGAUCCCAGCAAUCAACUGACUGUUUAAUCCAUCUCAGGGAAAGCCAGGUAAUUUCAUUCUUCCAUCAAGAGUGCUGCCAUGUGUUCAACUAAAACGUACAUGAGUAGCUUGCAAAUGCUGCAGGAAUGACUUUCCACCAGAUCGACGCAUUCCCAGGCUUCCGCUGCGCACAGAGCCCUCAGGGUAACUGGGCUUUCUCACCUUGUGACACAGCCCACGAGCUGCAAAGUGCCUUCUUUAUUUCCUUUUCUUAAAAAGUACGCUCAGUCUACUCUGGACUUUCCCAUCUGUCAGGGCAGCUUGAGGUGACUUCCUGCUCUGUCAGCUGACCAUGAGUCACGCCAAGGCUGCACAUUAGUGAGGCUGCUUCUGCAUCCU
RNAcentral lists this long non-coding RNA (3142 nucleotides) under Equus asinus (donkey). RNAcentral's name for it is "lncRNA (ENSEASG00005024197.1)". The record is from RNAcentral. Lineage: Eukaryota; Metazoa; Chordata; Mammalia; Perissodactyla; Equidae.